RNAcentral lists this ribosomal RNA (171 nucleotides) under Triticum aestivum (bread wheat). Its description in RNAcentral is "partial small subunit ribosomal RNA". The record is from RNAcentral. Lineage: Eukaryota; Viridiplantae; Streptophyta; Magnoliopsida; Poales; Poaceae.
AUGCUUCUACUUUCUGUGUGGAGCUGGGAGCGUCUUCCUGUUGGACGCCCGAAGAGCGUCAGGUUUAAUCCUUGGUAUGAAGAUGAAGAUGACGAAUUACGGCGCCCCACUUGGGCUUACAAGUGGGAUGUGGUUUCCGAGAUGACGAACGAUGUCAAUCUCAUGUACUAG